RNAcentral lists this ribosomal RNA (1245 nucleotides) under metagenome. Its description in RNAcentral is "bacterial LSU rRNA". It matches the Rfam family "Bacterial large subunit ribosomal RNA", at positions 1564 to 2818 of the family's 2925-position model. The record is from RNAcentral.
UGAAUACGAGACGCUAAGGCGUCGAAGUAGUGUAUGUCAUACCUCCAAGAAAAGCUUGCACUGUCAUAGAUAAAAAACGCCUGUACCAUAACCGACACAGGUGGGUAGGUAGAGUAUACUAGGGGGCGCGAGAUAACUCUCUCUAAGGAACUCGGCAAAAUAACUCCGUAACUUCGGGAGAAGGAGUGCCUUAUUCGUAAGGUUGCAAUAACAAGAUCCAAGCAACUGUUUAUCAAAAACACAGGUCUCCGCUAAGUCGUAAGACGAUGUAUGGGGGCUGACGCCUGCCCAGUGCCAGAAGGUUAAAGAAGUUGGUUAGCAAUUGCGAAGCUGAUAACUGAAGCCCUGGUGAACGGCGGCCGUAACUAUAACGGUCCUAAGGUAGCGAAAUUCCUUGUCGGGUAAGUUCCGACCCGCACGAAAGGCGUAAUGAUUUGGAUACUGUCUCGGAGAGGGGCUCGGUGAAAUAGACUUGUCUGUGAAGAUGCGGACUACCUGCACCAGGACAGAAAGACCCUAUGAAGCUUUACUGUAACUUGAAAUUGAAAUUGGACUUUAUUCGCGCAGCAUAGGUGGGAGGCGUUGGUUAUAAUCUUGCGGGAUUAUUGGAGCCAUCAGUGAGAUACCACUCUUGUAAUGUUAGAUUUCUAACUUUGAAUCAUUAUCUGGUCAAAGAACAGUUUCAGGCGGGCAGUUUGACUGGGGCGGUCGCCUCCUAAACGGUAACGGAGGCGUACAAAGGUUUCCUCUGAACGGUUAGAAAUCGUAUCUAGAGUGUAAAGGCAUAAGGAAGCUUGACUGUGAGACCUACAAGUCGAGCAGGGACGAAAGUCGGUCUUAGUGAUCUGACGGUACUGAGCGGAAAGGCCGUCACUCAACGGAUAAAAGUUACUCUAAGGAUAACAGGCUGAUCUCCCCCAAGAGUUCACAUCGACGGGGAGGUUUGGCACCUCGAUGUCGGCUCAUCGCAUCCUGGGGCGGUAGUACGUCCCAAGGGUUGGGCUGUUCGCCCAUGAAAGCGGUACGCGAGCUGGGUUCAGAACGUCGUGAGACAGUUCGGUCCAUAUCCGGUGUAGGCGUUAGAAUAUUGAGAGGAGCCUUCUUUAGUACGAGAGGACCGAGAAGGACAUACCUCUGGUGUACCAGUUAUCGUGCCAACGGUAAACGCUGGGUAGCUAUGUAUGGAGUGGAUAACCGCUGAAAGCAUCUAAGUGGGAAGCCCACCUCAAGAUAAGUAUUCUCAUC